AGAGUUUGAUCAUGGCUCAGAAUGAACGUUGGCGGCGUGGAUUAGGCAUGCAAGUCGAGCGAGAAGCUUUUUUUUGAUCUUUCGAGUGAAGAAAAAAGUGGACAGCGGCGAAAGGGAGAGUAACGAGUAGAUUACGUACCUGAGGGUUCAGGAUAGCGGGGGGAAACCGCCGGUAGUACUGAAUAAUGUUUCCGAACCAAAGAUUUAUCGCCCUCGGAGCGGUUUGCUUACUAUUAGUUUGUUGGUGGGGUAAUGGCCUACCAAGGCUAAGAUGGUUAGCGGGUGUGAGAGCAUGGCCCGUCUCACUGGGACUGAGACACCGCCCAGACACCUACGGGUGGCUGCAGUCGAGAAUCCUCCGCAAUGGACGAAAGUCUGACGGAGCGACGCCGCGUGCGGGAUGAAGGCCUUCGGGUUGUAAACCGCUGUCGUAGGGGAGGAAAUUUUGACCGAUCCUAGGAGGAAGCACAGGCUAAGUUCGUGCCAGCAGCCGCGGUAAUAUGAACUGUGCGAACGUUAUUCGGAAUCACUGGGCUUAAAGGGUGCGUAGGCGGCUAUGAAGGUCAGGUGUGAAAUCCCACGGCUCAACCGUGGAACUGCGCCUGAAACCACAUAGCUUGAGGAAGUCAGAGGUAAGCGGAACUGAUGGUGGAGCGGUGAAAUGCGUUGAUAUCAACAGGAACACCGGUGGCGAAAGCGGCUUACUGGGACUUUUCUGACGCUGAGGCACGAAAGCCAGGGGAGCGAACGGGAUUAGAUACCCCGGUAGUCCUGGCUGUAAACGAUCUGUACUAGUCUGUGGGGACUUCCACAUCCUCUCGGACGUAGCGAAAGUGUUAAGUACAGCGCC
RNAcentral lists this ribosomal RNA (850 nucleotides) under uncultured Planctomycetota bacterium. RNAcentral describes it as "bacterial SSU rRNA". It matches the Rfam family "Bacterial small subunit ribosomal RNA", at positions 9 to 873 of the family's 1533-position model. The record is from RNAcentral. Lineage: Bacteria; Pseudomonadati; Planctomycetota.